UUUUAAUUCAUAUUUUAAACCAAAUAUCUUUCUAAUAACAAAUAGGUUAACUUGAUUCCUUUUUUCCCUCCAGAGAAACUAGCAUACAGAAUUUUCCUCAUAUUGAGGUAGUUCGGAAAAAAGAAGAGAGAAGGAAAUUGCUUGGGCACACAUGUAAAGAAUGUGAAAUUGUAAGUACUGAUGUAAACACUUCUUUUGAAGUGAGAUUUUAUAGAUCGUAAGUGCCUGAUUUGAAAAUCACAGAUCCUAUUUAUAUUCAGAAACUUUGCUCACUGCAGUAAUGAUAGAAAGAAUAAGGAACCUAUCAGCUGGAACUAGCAUCUAUAAAUAAAUAGAUAGAAAAAAAUGAGAGUGAAAGCCCCCAGCUUGUCCUGGAGCCUGAAGCCUAACCCUAAUUCCAUUUUAAAUUGCAUUUAUUCACUUUAAUGUGGAAUUGGGUACAUGUGUACCACAGUGAGGGUGGGGUCAGAGAAUCACUUGUGGGAGUUGGUUUUUUCUUCUCAUCAUGUGCGUCUGGGGACUGAACUUUGGUCAUCUGGCUUGGUGAGCAACAAUAAAUUGCUGAGCCGUUUUGCGGGUACUGUACAUUCUAAUUCUUAUGGCUCUCUUAGGACAUUAUGUGCCACUUUUCUUUUCUGUAGUCACUUGCAAAUACUGAUGUACAUAUACCAUUUAGGGAAAAAUGAGACUUUAGCAAGAAACGAUCAUUUACUCUUUUCACUCUCUGGACGUAGCUAUACCCAUAACUAUUUAAAGAAUCAGUACCACUAUAAGCCCCAUUUUUCUCUGAGAUAAUUUUCAUCACAAAUUGAUAAAAAUAAGUUUCCCUUCAUCCUUAGAACACUUACAUUUUUACCUUUUUUCAUUGGCUAGCUUAUGUUGAAGAAAUCAAUACUAACUAUCCUAUUAAUAUGUUGUCCCAGAUAGGUUAUUUAAUAUCUUAAAAUGUGCUGGUUUUUUUCCUAUCUCACUAUCAGCUGGUAGAUGCUCUCCUCAACAUCUACCUUCCUCAUUUAGACUUUCUUAUUAACUGAUAUCUUGAAAAUUUAAUAAUCAAGACACAUUAAAAUAGCAUGUUGAAAGUAUGACUUGAUGAUAGUAAGGACUUGGUGGAAAUAUGCUCUUACAGAAGGAGUACAGACUGGAACCAUUUUGAGAAACAAUUGGACAGUUGCAGUCAUUGUUUUCUGUUGUAAAGCAUUGUGAUGGAAAGCGCUUGGAGGAAAGGACUUGUGUGGCUUAUACUUCUGUGCAACAGGCCAGCGUGGAAAGAAGUCAGAGCAAAAACUCAAGGCAGUUUCCUGGGACAGGAACUGAAACAGAGGCCAUGGAGUGGUGCUGCUUACUGCUUGCUCCUCAAGGCUUGCUUAUCCUGCUCUCUUAUAGAACCUUGGGUGGCCCCACCUACAAUGAGCUGGGCCCUCCCAUAUCAGUCAUUAAUCAAGAAAAUGCCCCACACAGUUGCCUACAAACAGUGUGAUGGAGACAUUUCCUUAAUUUUGAUGUUCUUCUUCCAUAUGACUUUAGCUGACAUAGAGUUGAUUAAAAAAAAUUGCCAGCACAUCAGUACAAAUGAAACCACUUAUAUCUUGAAAUUUUAUAGCACAAACAUUGUUACUCUAUUUUUCUUCUCAGUGAUCAAUGUCUUCUUGAUGUCUAGUCAUUGAAAAUGGAUGUUUCUUUCAUUUCAUGUAGUUCUGCUAGUUAUUUAAUGUAAAAGAGGUUUUUUUAAUGGC
This 1736-nucleotide long non-coding RNA is filed under the name Mus musculus (house mouse). RNAcentral describes it as "long non-coding RNA chr18:11738499-11740235". Lineage: Eukaryota; Metazoa; Chordata; Mammalia; Rodentia; Muridae. The record is from RNAcentral.